This 1925-nucleotide ribosomal RNA is filed under the name human gut metagenome. RNAcentral describes it as "bacterial LSU rRNA". It matches the Rfam family "Bacterial large subunit ribosomal RNA", at positions 1 to 1977 of the family's 2925-position model. The record is from RNAcentral.
GAAAGAGAAGAAGAGCGAACGGGGGAUGCCUAGGCUUCCGGAAGUGAAGAAGGACGUGGUAAGCUGCGAAAAGCUCCGGGGAUUUGCAAACAGGAAUUGAUCCGGAGAUGUCCGAAUGGGGGAACCCGCCUGGCUGAAGGCCAGGCACCGCGACAACGCGGAGCGUACGCAGGGAACUGAAACAUCUUAGUACCUGCAGGAAGAGAAAGAAAUAUCGAUUCCCAAAGUAGUGGCGAUCGAAAUGGGAAGAGCCUAAACCAUAUGCGUUACGGCGCAUGUGGGGUUGUAGGAGUUAUCACAAAGACAUAUCAAGGAACUGGAACGAUCUGGAAAGUUCGUCCGCAGAGGGUGAAAGGCCCGUACAGGUAACGAGGAUAUGUUGAGAUGACCACCUGAGUAGGGCGGGACACGUGGAAUCCUGUCUGAAUCUGCGGCGACCAUGCCGCAAGGCUAAAUAUAACCGGAAGACCGAUAGUGGACCAGUACCGUGAGGGAAAGGUGGGAAGCACCCCGAGAGGGGAGUGAAAAAGAACCUGAAACCGUUCGUUUACAAGCGGUCGGAGUCGAGAGACGACGGCGUGCCUUUUGCAUAAUGAGCCUACGAGUUGCUUCAUAAUGGCGAGGUCAAGUCCUUCAGGGACGAAGCCGGAGCGAGAGCGAGUCUGAACAGGGCGUUCAGUCAUUAUGAGCAGACGCGAAACCUAGUGAUCUACCCAUGACCAGGGUGAAGGCGCCGUAACAGGCGCUGGAGGCCCGAACCAGUUUCCGUGAAAAAGGGCUUGGAUGAGUUGUGGGUAGGAGUGAAAGGCCAAUCAAACUGGGAGAUAGCUCGUACUCCCCGAAAUGUCUUUAGGGACAGCCUCGGUUGUGUCUGCGUGAGGUAGAGCUACUGAUAGGAAGAGAGGGCUUCAUCGCCUAUCGAUUUCUGACAAACUCCGAAUGCGCGCAGAUUAGAGACCGGGAGUGAGUCGUCGGGUGCUAAUAUCCGUCGGCGAAAGGGUAAGAGCCCAGACCUUCAGCUAAGGCCCCCAAGAACAGUUUAAGUUGAGACGAAACGAAGUGACACCGCUAAGACAGCUAGGAUGUUAGCUUGGAAGCAGCUAUUCAUUCAAAGAGUGCGUAACAGCUCACUAGUCGAGCGGUGAUGCGUGGAUGAUGAACGGGCAUCAAAACUGUCGCCGAAGCUAAGGACGCGUACGUCAGUAUGCGUGGUAGGGGAGCAUUGCGGACAGCGUCGAAGGUGAACCGUGAGGUUUGCUGGAGCGUCCGGAAAAGAAAAUGUAGGCAUAAGUAACGACAAUGGACAUAGAAAAGUCCACACCGAAAACCCAAGGUUUCCUGAACUACGUUAAACGGAUCAGGGUUAGUCGGGACCUAAGUGGCAGCCGAGAGGCGAACACGAUGGAGAAUUGGUUAAUAAUCCAAUACUCGCUAUACAGGAGAAUCAGAGACCGAGGAGUGACACUGCCGCCGUCUGACGGAAUAGACGGUUAAAGGGGUUAGGGAGACUGAGCCCCGACAGUACCGCGAGGCCACGGCCGAGCGGAUAGCGCAGGUAAGCAGACUUGCAAGAAAAUCUGAUAUCGUUAAGAGUAUAGGGACCCGUACCGUAAACCGACACAGGUGGGUGAGGAGAGAAUCCUAAGGUGCUCGAGUGAAUCAUGGCUAAGGAACUAGGCAAAUUGACCGCGUAACUUCGGGAGAAGCGGACCCUGGCGACAGGGCGCAGAGAAAUGGCCCAGGCGACUGUUUACCAAAAACACAUGGCUAUGCUAAAUCGUUAAGAUGACGAAUAUGGCCUGACACCUGCCCGGUGCCGGAAGGUUAAGAGGGGAGCUCAGCGCAAGCGAAGGCUUGAAUCGAAGCCCCGGUAAACGGCGGCCGUAACUAUAACGGUCCUAAGGUAGCGAAAUUCCUUGUCGGGU